CAGAGGGGGCGAGCGUUGUUCGGAAUUACUGGGCGUAAAGGGCGCGUAGGCGGCCCGCUAAGUCGAACGUGAAAUCCCCAGGCUCAACCUGGGAACUGCGUCCGAUACUGGCAGGCUUGAAUCCGGGAGAGGGAUGUGGAAUUCCAGGUGUAGCGGUGAAAUGCGUAGAUAUCUGGAGGAACACCGGUGGCGAAGGCGGCAUCCUGGACCGGUAUUGACGCUGAGGCGCGAAAGCCAGGGGAGCAAACGGGAUUAGAUACCCCGGUAGUCCUGGCCCUAAACGAUGAAUGCUUGGUGUGGCGGGUAUCGAUCCCUGCCGUGCCGAAGCUAACGCAUUAAGCAUUCCGCCUGGGGAGUACGGUCGCAAGGCUG
RNAcentral lists this ribosomal RNA (372 nucleotides) under uncultured organism. Its description in RNAcentral is "bacterial SSU rRNA". It matches the Rfam family "Bacterial small subunit ribosomal RNA", at positions 526 to 896 of the family's 1533-position model. The record is from RNAcentral.